This is a non-coding RNA of Ictidomys tridecemlineatus (thirteen-lined ground squirrel), 237 nucleotides long. The record is from RefSeq and is a predicted model, not a curated record. NCBI's taxonomy places the organism in Eukaryota, Metazoa, Chordata, Mammalia, Rodentia, Sciuridae.
GGCAUGAUACCAAGGAUGGAGAAGCUGCUUUUGCAUCAAGAAGCUCUUUAAUGCCUGAAGAAUUGAGCUACCUUGGGCAAUGUCCAGGCCAGCCCUGAUGAUGAGAUUUUGUACUGUUGAAAUGGUCGUAAUUUUAUUGAACCAAGAUAUGUUGAGAACUCACAACUACAAAAAAGGAAGCAGUCUUCACUUAGAAAAGUUACUAGCCAGAGAAUUAAAAGUAUGUUACACUUUUUA